UUGUGCGAAGACGCUAUACAGUAAAACUACAAAACCAUAUUCUCAAAUGGUAGCGGAUUAUCAAUGAAUGCUAUGUUUUAUAUAAGAACAGCAGUUGUGUUUGCACUUUUUGCACAAUAUGUUGAAAGUUUUGGUAUUAAAACACAGAAGUUUAACACCAACACAAACAUAAGAAUAGUUCAAAAUGGAGCAUCAGUUCAUACAGUGGAAGCAAAAUCCCGAAUCCAGUGUGCCAUGUUGUGCACAAGUGAUAGUACUUGCUGCUCAAGUACCUAUGACCAAAUCUUAGAACACUGUUCCUUAUUUUUGGCUUGCUGCCCUAUGAAGGAACCCUCUACAGGAUCACAUACAAGUACAAAGACUCCAAAACUAGCUAUGGUCUUUUCUCCUACACCAACCGACUGUAGCGAAUUUCCUCCUGGAACAUGUACUGGGGUACAUACUAUCCAGCCAGAAAACGGUCCAACCAUAACUGUGUUUUGUGACAUGGACACUGAUGGUAGAGGGUGGACGACAAUUCAAAGACGAUUUGAUGGAAAUGUUGAUUUCUAUAGAGAUUGGGAGGAUUACAAAACUGGAUUUGGGGAUAUAGCAGGAGAACAUUGGCUUGGAAAUGACAAUCUUCAUUAUAUUCUUCGAC
Long non-coding RNA from Mytilus californianus (California mussel), 640 nucleotides. RefSeq lists it as uncharacterized. The record is from RefSeq and is a predicted model, not a curated record. The transcript is spliced from 4 exons. NCBI's taxonomy places the organism in Eukaryota, Metazoa, Mollusca, Bivalvia, Mytilida, Mytilidae.